AGUCGUAACAAGGUUUCCGUAGGUGAACCUGCGGAAGGAUCAUUAACAAGUCCGCUGCGUGCGCAACACCCUUGCGUAUGCACAUCCGUUCCAUGCGCAGUCCGCUGUGCAUGACAUUUCUGCAAAUCUCUGAUUGUCACACUUUAAAUAAUACAAACUUUUAACAAUGGAUCUCUAGGCUCUUGCAUCGAUGAAGAACGCAGUGAAGUGCGAAAAGUAAUGCGAUUUGCAUGCUCUGUGAGUCAUCGAAUCUUUGAACGCAUAUGGCACCUCCCGGCCCUGCCGGAGGGUAUGCCUGUUUGAGAAUCAUAUACACUCGUGUUCAUCAUCCAUUGAUGGACGACCUGGGCAUUCAGCAGUGAUCGCCGUGAAUAAUAGUGUAUUGUCAAGGGUAUCACUUGAUGUUGUUGACAACCACAACCCCCCUCAUGAUCUCAAAUCAGGCAAGGCUACCCGCUGAACUUAAGCAUAUCAGUAAGCGGAGGAAGAGAAACUAACAAGGAUUCCCCCAGUAACGGCGAGUGAAGCGGGAACAGUCCAAAUUUUAAAUCUGGGACCACCGGUCUCCGAAUUGUAGUUUACAGACGCGGGUCGUGGACAGCGCAUCGCCGUGCAAGUCCCCUGGAACGGGGCGUCGCGGAGGGUGAGAAUCCCGUGGUGCGGGGAUGCGCUGGUCGCUGGAGCCGCGUCGACGAGUCGAGUUGUUUGGGAAUGCAGCUCAAAACGGGUGGUAAAUUCCAUCCAAGACUAAAUAUUGGCAAGAGACCGAUAGCGAACAAGUACUGUGAAGGAAAGAUGAAAAGCACCUUGAAAAGGGAGUUAAAUAGUGCGUGAAAUUGUUAAGAGGGAAACGAUUGGCGCCAGUAUCGCCGCGUCGGUGGAGCAGUCGAUUCAUCGUCUGUGCAUCCGGCGCGCGAGUCAGCGGCGGCCUGCGAUUGCGCACAACCCCCGCGGAAAGAUGACGCCUCGGCGUUUUACAGUCCCGGCGGGCGCGCCACGACAGGCCGAUGAUCGGCGAUAAUCUGCGCCUCGCCGCUGUGCCAAGCACGUGCAGACAGCACGCUGAUUGCGCGUGUGCAAGACAUUGGUGGGCGCAGCACGCGGACACGCUGACGAAAUGGCGUCAAACGACC
Molecule: ribosomal RNA, 1133 nt
Filed under: uncultured fungus
Lineage: Eukaryota; Fungi
Description: eukaryotic LSU rRNA
Rfam family: Eukaryotic large subunit ribosomal RNA (bases 430-1133)
Source: RNAcentral